This 19-nucleotide non-coding RNA is filed under the name Cyprinus carpio (common carp). Its record names the gene ccr-miR-214. RNAcentral also lists the same sequence under 2 other names. The record is from miRBase by way of RNAcentral. Lineage: Eukaryota; Metazoa; Chordata; Actinopteri; Cypriniformes; Cyprinidae.
UACAGCAGGCACAGACAGG